GACGAACGCUGUUGGCGUGCUUAACACAUGCAAGUCGAACGGAAAGGCCCUGCUUUUGUGGGGUGCUCGAGUGGCGAACGGGUGAGUAACACGUGAGUAACCUGCCCUUGACUUUGGGAUAACUUCAGGAAACUGGGGCUAAUACCGGAUAGGAGCUCCUGCUGCAUGGUGGGGGUUGGAAAGUUUCGGCGGUUGGGGAUGGACUCGCGGCUUAUCAGCUUGUUGGUGGGGUAGUGGCUUACCAAGGCUUUGACGGGUAGCCGGCCUGAGAGGGUGACCGGCCACAUUGGGACUGAGAUACGGCCCAGACUCCUACGGGAGGCAGCAGUGGGGAAUAUUGCACAAUGGGCGGAAGCCUGAUGCAGCAACGCCGCGUGCGGGAUGACGGCCUUCGGGUUGUAAACCGCUUUCGCCUGUGACGAAGCGUGAGUGACGGUAAUGGGUAAAGAAGCACCGGCUAACUACGUGCCAGCAGCCGCGGUGAUACGUAGGGUGCGAGCGUUGUCCGGAUUUAUUGGGCGUAAAGGGCUCGUAGGUGGUUGAUCGCGUCGGAAGUGUAAUCUUGGGGCUUAACCCUGAGCGUGCUUUCGAUACGGGUUGACUUGAGGAAGGUAGGGGAGAAUGGAAUUCCUGGUAGAGCGGUGGAAUGCGCAGAUAUCAGGAGGAACACCAGUGGCGAAGGCGGUUCUCUGGGCCUUUCCUGACGCUGAGGAGCGAAAGCGUGGGGAGCGAACAGGCUUAGAUACCCUGGUAGUCCACGCUGUAAACGGUGGGUACUAGGUGUGGGGUCCAUUCCACGGGUUCCGUGCCGUAGCUAACGCUUUAAGUACCCCGCCUGGGGAGUACGGCCGCAAGGCUAAAACUCAAAGGAAUUGACGGGGCCCCGCACAAGCGGCGGAGCAUGCGGAUUAAUUCGAUGCAACGCGUAGAACCUUACCUGGGUUUGACAUGGAUCGGGAGUGCUCAGAGAUGGGUGUGCCUCUUUUGGGGUCGGUUCACAGGUGGUGCAUGGCUGUCGUCAGCUCGUGUCGUGAGAUGUUGGGUUAAGUCCCGCAACGAGCGCAACCCUUGUUCACUGUUGCCAGCACGUUAUGGUGGGGACUCAGUGGAGACCGCCGGGGUCAACUCGGAGGAAGGUGGGGAUGACGUCAAGUCAUCAUGCCCCUUAUGUCCAGGGCUUCACGCAUGCUACAAUGGCUGGUACAGAGAGUGGCGAGCCUGUGAGGGUGAGCGAAUCUCGGAAAGCCGGUCUCAGUUCGGAUUGGGGUCUGCAACCCGACCUCAUGAAGUCGGAGUCGCUAGUAAUCGCAGAUCAGCAACGCUGCGGUGAAUACGUUCCCGGG
RNAcentral lists this ribosomal RNA (1343 nucleotides) under uncultured bacterium. Its description in RNAcentral is "16S ribosomal RNA". It matches the Rfam family "Bacterial small subunit ribosomal RNA", at positions 28 to 1378 of the family's 1533-position model. The record is from RNAcentral.